GAUGAACGCUGGCGGCGUGCUUAACACAUGCAAGUCGAACGAUGAAGCCCAGCUUGCUGGGUGGAUUAGUGGCGAACGGGUGAGUAACACGUGAGUAACCUGCCCUUAACUCUGGGAUAAGCCUGGGAAACUGGGUCUAAUACCGGGUAGGAGCGUCCACCGCAUGGUGGGUGUUGGAAAGAUUUAUCGGUUUUGGAUGGACUCGCGGCCUAUCAGCUUGUUGGUGAGGUAAUGGCUCACCAAGGCGACGACGGGUAGCCGGCCUGAGAGGGUGACCGGCCACACUGGGACUGAGACACGGCCCAGACUCCUACGGGAGGCAGCAGUGGGGAAUAUUGCACAAUGGGCGAAAGCCUGAUGCAGCGACGCCGCGUGAGGGAUGACGGCCUUCGGGUUGUAAACCUCUUUCAGUAGGGAAGAAGCGAAAGUGACGGUACCUGCAGAAGAAGCACCGGCUAACUACGUG
This 466-nucleotide ribosomal RNA is filed under the name uncultured bacterium. RNAcentral's name for it is "partial 16S ribosomal RNA". It matches the Rfam family "Bacterial small subunit ribosomal RNA", at positions 28 to 507 of the family's 1533-position model. The record is from RNAcentral.